GUUUUGUCAGGAUCCCAAUUCAAAGCACUUAGGAACAACAAUGUGGGAUUCAUCACUUAUUUUUGCCAAAUUUCUUGAACGGAAUUGCAGAAAGGGAAGGUUUUCUCCAGCUAAACUUAAAGGAAAACGUGUAAUUGAACUUGGAGCUGGCUAUGGUGUUUCUGGUUUUGGCAUGGCUUUGCUGGGGUGUGAUGUUAUAGUGACAGACCAAAAAGAGGUUUUGCCAUUAUUGCAGAGAAAUGUCGAACGUAAUAUUUCAAGAGUCAUGCAGAAGAACCCUGGUGUGAUUUGAAAUGCAGAAGAACGUAAUAUCAGCAAGGCCAUGGAGCAAGUGAGCAAGAACCAGGCAUUAGUAGAUGCUAUUGGAGAACCAAUAGUUAAAGCUCAGGAUCGUGCUCAUAGGAUUGGAUAGAAGAAAUAAGUACAAGUUUUCCGAUUUUGCACGGAGACGUUAAGUUUUGAUGGGUUCUCCAAGGUGAUGUUGAUAAGAAUUUCACCUAACUGCAGUUAAUGUGAGAGUUCUUGCUAUUGCUGAUGGUGUUUCUGGUUGGGCAGAAGAGGAUGUGGAUCCUUUAUUGUUCCCAUGUGAAUUGAUGGCAGUCCAAAGAAUUGCAAAGGCUGCUCAGCCUGAUGCAAUUAGAGCAGCAUUUGCAGAAUUCUUCUCAAUGCUUAUUUUUGAUUUUGCUGCUGAAGGUUCUGGCAUGUCAAACAAAGCACCAUAAGGAAAUUACUUUUUUUUUUGGUGAUCAACUCUUCUGAAUCAAACCUAUCAGGUUCAAGAAGAAUUCAUACACAUAUGGUUGAUGGAUGCUGAUUCAUGUCUAUUUUUUGAGAAAGAAUUCAGUUAAUCUUUCUGUAAUAUAUGUAAAAUUGUGUAAAAUUUAGUAUGGUUGAACAAUAUA
Molecule: long non-coding RNA, 902 nt
Organism: Arachis duranensis
Lineage: Eukaryota; Viridiplantae; Streptophyta; Magnoliopsida; Fabales; Fabaceae
Exons: 6
Source: RefSeq, a predicted model, not a curated record